UGGGGAAUAUUGCACAAUGGGGGAAACCCUGAUGCAGCGACGCCGCGUGAGCGAAGAAGUAUUUCGGUAUGUAAAGCUCUAUCAGCAGGGAAGAAGAAUGACGGUACCUGACUAAGAAGCACCGGCUAAAUACGUGCCAGCAGCCGCGGUAAUACGUAUGGUGCAAGCGUUAUCCGGAUUUACUGGGUGUAAAGGGAGCGCAGGCGGUACGGCAAGUCUGAUGUGAAAGCCCGGGGCUCAACCCCGGUACUGCAUUGGAAACUGUCGGACUAGAGUGUCGGAGGGGUAAGUGGAAUUCCUAGUGUAGCGGUGAAAUGCGUAGAUAUUAGGAGGAACACCAGUGGCGAAGGCGGCUUUCUGGACGACAACUGACGCUGAGGCGCGAAAGCGUGGGGAGCAAACAGGAUUAGAUACCCUGGUAGU
RNAcentral lists this ribosomal RNA (423 nucleotides) under uncultured Roseburia sp. RNAcentral describes it as "bacterial SSU rRNA". It matches the Rfam family "Bacterial small subunit ribosomal RNA", at positions 355 to 794 of the family's 1533-position model. The record is from RNAcentral. Lineage: Bacteria; Bacillati; Bacillota; Clostridia; Lachnospirales; Lachnospiraceae.